CAAAACAGGCGUUAGUGGUGCAGACACCGCUGAAAACGAAACCCGUCAUAUUCUGAAGUUGAACUCGAAGGAAAUGAAGUGAACCCCUGGCCAUAUUUAUGCUCUGUUACGCAGUGUAAGCUGUGCUUACCUAGGGAGACCAAACUAGCAGCUUAUAAAAUCUCAACAACACAUCAACCCUUCGCAAGCAUGUAGAGAUGAGUCCAGAGGAGGCCUGAUGAGACACCUGGCUGGAUGUGUUGAUUUUGGCUGGCAUACCUGUCAUGGAAAGCUGCAACUGUAAUUCAAAAAUAAGGAGGCUAGUGCCACAUGAGUCCAAGUGGUGACAUGAGUGAAGAAGCACAACAGCUCUCCUACUCUUCCAAUCUGCCAUGUCUGUUCACUCCCACAUCGGGAACAUGAUGAGGAGGUCAGUGAAGACUUUUCAGAGAGGAUGUCCUCACAGGCUUUGACUCUCCAUUGUUCUGACAUUAAGCUGAGUGCGACAUAUUGAAAAG
Long non-coding RNA from Cyprinus carpio carpio, 497 nucleotides. Lineage: Eukaryota; Metazoa; Chordata; Actinopteri; Cypriniformes; Cyprinidae. The record is from Ensembl.